Molecule: ribosomal RNA, 253 nt
Filed under: uncultured bacterium
Lineage: Bacteria
Description: partial 16S ribosomal RNA
Rfam family: Bacterial small subunit ribosomal RNA
Source: RNAcentral
UACGUAGGUGGCAAGCGUUAUCCGGAUUCAUUGGGUUUAAAGGGUGCGUAGGCGGAAUAAUAAGUCAGUGGUGAAAGCCUGCGGCUUAACCGUAGAAAUGCCAUUGAUACUGCUAUUCUUGAGUAUAGUUGAAGUGGGCGGAAUGUGUAAUGUAGCGGUGAAAUGCUUAGAUAUUACACAGAACACCAAUUGCGAAGGCAGCUCACUAAGCUGUUACUGACGCUGAGGCACGAAAGCGUGGGGAGCAAACAGG